UCAGCAUGUAGUCAGAGCAGGAGGGGUGUUAGGGUUCACUCAGGAACCAACCUUGGGAGAAGAAUUUGGGGGAAUUCUUGCUGCCUGCUGAUCAGUUCAGGAUUCCUGCCUGGAAAACUCCACCAGGUGAACUCCCAUCAGCUGGGCAGAAUGAAGCUGUUGGUUUGUAUCUUCUUGGCCUCUCUUGCUGCUGCUGCUACUGCACAUCUACACACAGACCCGACGCUGGAUAACCACUGGGAGCUCUGGAAG
This is a non-coding RNA of Chelonoidis abingdonii (Abingdon island giant tortoise), 252 nucleotides long. The record is from RefSeq and is a predicted model, not a curated record. NCBI's taxonomy places the organism in Eukaryota, Metazoa, Chordata, Testudines, Testudinidae.